AGGACGAACGCUGGCGGCGUGCUUAACACAUGCAAGUCGAACGGUGAAGCCCUUCGGGGUGGAUCAGUGGCGAACGGGUGAGUAACACGUGGGCAAUCUGCCCUGCAUUCUGGGACAAGCCUUGGAAACGAGGUCUAAUACCGGAUACGACGCAUCCCCGCAUGGGGUGUGCGUGGAAAGCUCCGGCGAUGCAGGAUGAGCCCGCGGCCUAUCAGCUUGUUGGUGGGGUAAUGGCCUACCAAGGCGACGACGGGUAGCCGGCCUGAGAGGGCGACCGGCCACACUGGGACUGAGACACGGCCCAGACUCCUACGGGAGGCAGCAGUGGGGAAUAUUGCACAAUGGGCGAAAGCCUGAUGCAGCGACGCCGCGUGAGGGAUGACGGCCUUCGGGUUGUAAACCUCUUUCAGCAGGGAAGAAGCGCAAGUGACGGUACCUGCAGAAGAAGCACCGGCUAACUACGUGCCAGCAGCCGCGGU
This 479-nucleotide ribosomal RNA is filed under the name uncultured bacterium. Its description in RNAcentral is "SSU rRNA". It matches the Rfam family "Bacterial small subunit ribosomal RNA", at positions 26 to 521 of the family's 1533-position model. The record is from RNAcentral.